This 301-nucleotide ribosomal RNA is filed under the name uncultured bacterium. RNAcentral's name for it is "partial 16S ribosomal RNA". It matches the Rfam family "Bacterial small subunit ribosomal RNA", at positions 509 to 807 of the family's 1533-position model. The record is from RNAcentral.
CAGUAGCCGCGGUAAUACGAGGGGGGCAAGCGUUGUUCGGAAUUAUUGGGCGUAAAGGGCGCGUAGGCGGUUUGACAAGUUUGGUGUGAAAUCUAUGGGCUCAACCCAUAGCCUGCAUCGAAAACUGUCGGGCUUGAGUAUGGGAGAGGUGAGUGGAAUUUCCGGUGUAGCGGUGAAAUGCGUAGAUAUCGGAAGGAACACCUGUGGCGAAAGCGGCUCACUGGACCAUUACUGACGCUGAGGCGCGAAAGCUAGGGGAGCAAACAGGAUUAGAGACCCCAGUAGUCCCUGUCUCUUAUAC